UACGUAGGGCGCAAGCGUUGUCCGGAAUUAUUGGGCGUAAAGAGCUCGUAGGUGGCUUGUCACGUCGGGUGUGAAAGCUUGGGGCUUAACUCCAGGUCUGCAUUCGAUACGGGCUGGCUAGAGGUAGGUAGGGGAGAACGGAAUUCCUGGUGUAGCGGUGAAAUGCGCAGAUAUCAGGAGGAACACCGGUGGCGAAGGCGGCUCUCUGGGACGGUACUGACGCUGAGACGCGAAAGCGUGGGGAGCGAACAGG
RNAcentral lists this ribosomal RNA (253 nucleotides) under uncultured bacterium. Its description in RNAcentral is "partial 16S ribosomal RNA". It matches the Rfam family "Bacterial small subunit ribosomal RNA", at positions 524 to 776 of the family's 1533-position model. The record is from RNAcentral.